This 312-nucleotide long non-coding RNA is filed under the name Rosa chinensis. RNAcentral describes it as "sRNA RchiOBHm_Chr2g0123981". The record is from RNAcentral. Lineage: Eukaryota; Viridiplantae; Streptophyta; Magnoliopsida; Rosales; Rosaceae.
UUUAUUUUUAUUUAUGAGUUGUUGGCUAAGUUAUGAUCAUAUUGGAUUUAGGUGAUUGACGGUCUUCCUUGGUGAGCGGUUUUGGUGUGUUUUGUGAAAUUGAAGACGCAGCGGGAUUAGAGCGGGUAAUCUUGCAGGUUAGGAGAAUCAGGGCGGUGAUCGUGCGGGUUAGAGUAAUUGUUAUAGUUUUACAGUGAUUGUAAUAGUGAGGUGAGUGAUGCUCAAUUUGAGCUUUACAUAUUUACUUUGUAUAAGUGAGUUUUGAUUUUUCAUGUUUCGGAUUUUGAAUUAGUUAUUCAAAAUUCGGGGCGU